This is a non-coding RNA of Nematostella vectensis (starlet sea anemone), 72 nucleotides long. NCBI's taxonomy places the organism in Eukaryota, Metazoa, Cnidaria, Anthozoa, Actiniaria, Edwardsiidae. The record is from Rfam.
GAUUCCGUGGCCCAGUGGUUAGCGCGUUUGACUCGUAAGCAAGCGUUUCGGGUUCAAUCCCCGGUCGAGUCU